Molecule: ribosomal RNA, 460 nt
Filed under: Novosphingobium aromaticivorans
Lineage: Bacteria; Pseudomonadati; Pseudomonadota; Alphaproteobacteria; Sphingomonadales; Sphingomonadaceae
Description: bacterial SSU rRNA
Rfam family: Bacterial small subunit ribosomal RNA
Source: RNAcentral
CCUGGAGAAUAAGCUCCGGCUAACUCCGUGCCAGCAGCCGCGGUAAUACGGAGGGAGCUAGCGUUGUUCGGAAUUACUGGGCGUAAAGCGCACGUAGGCGGCUACUCAAGUCAGAGGUGAAAGCCCGGGGCUCAACCCCGGAACUGCCUUUGAAACUAGGUAGCUGGAAUCUUGGAGAGGUCAGUGGAAUUCCGAGUGUAGAGGUGAAAUUCGUAGAUAUUCGGAAGAACACCAGUGGCGAAGGCGACUGACUGGACAAGUAUUGACGCUGAGGUGCGAAAGCGUGGGGAGCAAACAGGAUUAGAUACCCCUGGUAGUCCACGCCGUAAACGAUGAUAACUAAGCUGUCCGGUCACUUGGUGGAUUGGGGUGGCGCAGCUAACGCAUUAAGUUAUCCGCCUGGGGGAGUACGGGUCGCAAGAUUAAAACUCAAAGGGAAUGGACGGGGGGCCUGCCACAA